AUGAGCAGAGGGACGGAGCAGCUCUGCUGCCAGGAAAGGCUGCCACAGCUGCCAUUGCUCAGCCCGGACAGGAGAAGCUUUGGCCUCAGCUCCCUGUGGCCUCGCAGGGCCCGAAGGAGCCGCAGCAAAGGUGGAGAGAGACAAUUGCCAAGGGCUGCAGGGCCAGGAGCCAGGGAAUGGCUGCCAGUGGCAGAGGGCAGGGCUGGAUGGGAUCUUGGGCAGGGAUUGUUCCCUGGCAGGGUGGGCAGGCCCUGGCACAGGGUGCCCAGAGCAGCUGGGGCUGCCCCUGGAUCCCUGGCAGUGCCCAAGGCCAGGCUGGACAUUGGGGCUGGCAGCUCCUGGGACACUGGGAGAUGGCCCUGCCAUGGCUGGGGUGGGAAUGGGGGGGAAUUGGGGUCCCUUCCAAUUAAUCAAAUCCAUGAUUUCUUACAGUCACGGAGAAAGCCAGCAGCGCUGAACCACGGGCCACAUUCGUGCUGCUCCUCUCACCUCCUCUCACCUCAGAAAUUACAGGAAGUGGUUUUCCAUUGCAAUUGGCAGAAAAUAUCAGAGAAAAAAGGAAACAUGACACUACUUCUAAAGGUUUGCAGGCCACAGAAACCAAGAUUUGAUGCACUCCUCCUCCUGGUGCACAAUCCAGACUGUCACGUUUCAGAGGUCGAAAUGAGCCUGUGGAAAAACACGAAAUUUGGGCACAGAUUUAGGCAUCACUCUCAUGGUGUUCAGUUUCCUUUCACGUGUUGCCUGUCAUUGCCUUCUGAAAACAGCUUUAUUUUGAAGCACAGUGGGCAUAAUGGAAGUAGAAAAACUCUCCUGGGAGCUCUGGAAGACUCAUGA
This 837-nucleotide long non-coding RNA is filed under the name Parus major (Great Tit). RNAcentral's name for it is "lncRNA (ENSPMJG00000014245.1)". Lineage: Eukaryota; Metazoa; Chordata; Aves; Passeriformes; Paridae. The record is from RNAcentral.